UCUGGUACCUUCGGUGCCCGAGUUGUAAUUUGGAGAGGGCAACUUUGGGGCCGUUCCUUGUCUAUGUUCCUUGGAACAGGACGUCAUAGAGGGUGAGAAUCCCGUGUGGCGAGGAGUGCGGUUCUUUGUAAAGUGCCUUCGAAGAGUCGAGUUGUUUGGGAAUGCAGCUCUAAGUGGGUGGUAAAUUCCAUCUAAAGCUAAAUAUUGGCGAGAGACCGAUAGCGAACAAGUACAGUGAUGGAAAGAUGAAAAGAACUUUGAAAAGAGAGUGAAAAAGUACGUGAAAUUGUUGAAAGGGAAGGGCAUUUGAUCAGACAUGGUGUUUUGUGCCCUCUGCUCCUUGUGGGUAGGGGAAUCUCGCAUUUCACUGGGCCAGCAUCAGUUUUGGUGGCAGGAUAAAUCCAUAGGAAUGUAGCUUGCCUCGGUAAGUAUUAUAGCCUGUGGGAAUACUGCCAGCUGGGACUGAGGACUGCGACGUAAGUCAAGGAUGCUGGCAUAAUGGUUAUAUGCCGCCCGUCUG
This 520-nucleotide ribosomal RNA is filed under the name Saccharomyces sp. RNAcentral's name for it is "partial large subunit ribosomal RNA". It matches the Rfam family "Eukaryotic large subunit ribosomal RNA", at positions 121 to 655 of the family's 3401-position model. The record is from RNAcentral. Lineage: Eukaryota; Fungi; Ascomycota; Saccharomycetes; Saccharomycetales; Saccharomycetaceae.